Molecule: ribosomal RNA, 253 nt
Filed under: uncultured bacterium
Lineage: Bacteria
Description: partial 16S ribosomal RNA
Rfam family: Bacterial small subunit ribosomal RNA
Source: RNAcentral
UACGUAGGGUGCAAGCGUUGUCCGGAAUUAUUGGGCGUAAAGAGCUCGUAGGCGGUCUGUCACGUCUGCUGUGAAAGCCCGGGGCUUAACCCCGGGUCUGCAUUCGAUACGGGCAGACUAGAGUGUGGUAGGGGAGAUCGGAAUUCCUGGUGUAGCGGUGAAAUGCGCAGAUAUCAGGAGGAACACCGGUGGCGAAGGCGGAUCUCUGGGCCAUUACUGACGCUGAGGAGCGAAAGCGUGGGGAGCGAACAGG